ACGUCGAGGCGCGCCGGUUCACAACAAGGGGCUACGAACUGUGUGGGUCGCGAUUGGGGACAAACAACCAAAACACCUUGCUCUUGCUGACGAAAAUACUAUCAUUCAGCGAAGUGAAGUAAAUCUGCUGAGACAUGCUGCCUGCAUUCCUCGGAACUGCAGUGCCACAUCCAAAGACAAGUCUCGAUUGCAAAUGUCAAGAUACAAUCUUUUCGCAGACGAUCAUUUCAGCGACGUGGCUGCGACGGAUUGAUGGCUGCACGUGACACCGCAAAAAGCUCUGAUAAACCAUAAAACUAUUAUUUUUACAUUCUUGAGUGAUACUAUAACGUAAUAUCAAAGCUUUGGCUUUUUGUUGUCACUGAAGAUUAUAACUUAGUGCUUUGUUUGUCCUAAAAUUAUUACUGUCCUAAAAUUAUGACCAUUCACUGUAUGAAUAACAUAUCCUAUUACAUCUCUUAUGGGGUAAA
This is a long non-coding RNA of Colias croceus (clouded yellow), 470 nucleotides long. RefSeq lists it as uncharacterized. The transcript is spliced from 2 exons. The record is from RefSeq and is a predicted model, not a curated record. NCBI's taxonomy places the organism in Eukaryota, Metazoa, Arthropoda, Insecta, Lepidoptera, Pieridae.